UAAUAGAUAUCGGAGCAACAGCUUUGCGUGAAGCGGGUCAGGGGAGGAAUCCAGCAGCCCUAAGCGAUGUAAGCUGUGUGCUCUAUUUUUUGUGUAAUAGU
This 101-nucleotide signal recognition particle RNA is filed under the name Streptococcus mutans. It matches the Rfam family "Bacterial small signal recognition particle RNA". Rfam says of the family: The signal recognition particle (SRP) is a universally conserved ribonucleoprotein involved in the co-translational targeting of proteins to membranes. RNAcentral also lists the same sequence under 2 other names. The record is from RNAcentral. Lineage: Bacteria; Bacillati; Bacillota; Bacilli; Lactobacillales; Streptococcaceae.